RNAcentral lists this long non-coding RNA (1313 nucleotides) under Chloebia gouldiae (Gouldian finch). RNAcentral describes it as "Erythrura gouldiae (Gouldian finch) lncRNA (ENSEGOG00005012425.1)". Lineage: Eukaryota; Metazoa; Chordata; Aves; Passeriformes; Passeridae. The record is from RNAcentral.
CAGCAGAUUGGUCUGGCUUUUGCCGCCUCCCAGGAGCAGCGUGUCAGCAGCACACAGCAGGACCUGGGAUGUGUCCUGGCACACCUGAGACCACCUGGGUGACAACGACAGCGGCUGGCACUGGCCUGGCGCGUGCUGCGCUUGUGAGCGCCGGUGCGGAGCGCUGGUCCUGAUCUGUGUCCGUUUCUGCGGAUAAUUCCCACCUCCCAGGAACACACAGGAGUUUGGGAAACACGUACAGCUGCUGGGGAGCUGGGUGCCCGUGAGCCCGAGCCUGCCCGGGCCUGCGGCCGAUGCAACAGCGAAGGUGUGGAAAUCAUUGAGAAAACGUGGCAAUAUCGGCAGGCGGCUGGGAGCUUCCGUGGCCUGGAGAGCAAAGCAGGAAUCCAACAUGGGCACUGGGGACUGCAGGCUGUGCUCGAUAUUCCCCCACAACGGCUGGGAUCCGGAUUCAUUUUUAAUGAAACGCUUUUUGCUACAAUCCUACAGCAGCCCCAAAUGGUGGCAGAGCUGCUGGAGGGCUCAGAACGAAGGCAGCUGAUGGCUGAGGGAGCCGCAGCUGGGACAGGCUGGCCCCGGCUCCGGCCCUCGCCCGCACACGGGGGGCUCGGAGCCCCCCGGAGCCGCCGCCGUGCUCCUCGGUGGCUGCGGGCUCCGGCCGGGGGCUGCCGGGCCGGGAGAGCCCAGCGAGAGGCCCUGGAGCGUGCGGGGCGGGGGAGCCCCAGUUCCAGGGAUCCAGAAGGAUGCUGUGGGUGGGAGCCCCAGUUCCAGGGAUCCAGGAGGAUGCUGUGGGUGGGAGCCCCAAUUCCGGGGGUCCGGGAGGGUGCGGUGAGGGGGAGCCCCAGUUCCAGGGAUCCAGAAGGAUGCUGUGGGAGGGAGCCCCAAUUCCGGGGGUCCGGGAGGGUGCGGUGGGUGGGAGCCCCAGUUCCAGGGAUCCAGGAGGAUGCUGGGGGUGAGUGCCCCAGUGCCAGGAGCUGGGCAAGCGCUGCCCCUCGCCAGCCCCGCCACCUGCCCCGGGCUGCUGGGGGCUGCAGGAGGGAGGGGGCCUGGAGGGACUCCCCCAACCGGGGAGCAAGCACCGGGGCUCGGCUCUCUGCCCCCGGCCCCUGCACGCCCCGCUGCCCCGGGGGGAGUCACCGGUGUUCCGUGAAUGCAAAUGAACGGGGUUCGGUCCAAAUUGCAUUUCCUCUCCUACUAUGGAGUGUGACGGCACAUUAAAGCCUAUAAUAUUCCACUGCUGCUCUUUUGCAUGAUUUUUUAAUUAAAAAACUAUGGAGUAAACAAACAUUCUGCUCCGGAGUAGCCCUGCAGAG